CUUCCUCAGCCUUACUCCAGGGGCUUUUAUGCCUGUGUAGUGCCCUGGCAUUGCCUGAGGAGAAAUUAAAAGUAUGCUCAUAUCCCUCCCCAGUAGGAUUUUACAUUUCCUUUGGGGCCUACAAUUUGAGCAAACAUU
This 138-nucleotide small nucleolar RNA is filed under the name Alligator sinensis (Chinese alligator). Its description in RNAcentral is "Small nucleolar RNA SNORA49". It matches the Rfam family "Small nucleolar RNA SNORA49". Rfam says of the family: The snoRNA ACA49 has no identified RNA target. NB genomic sequence 1-nt different from published. Lineage: Eukaryota; Metazoa; Chordata; Crocodylia; Alligatoridae. The record is from Rfam by way of RNAcentral.